Podarcis lilfordi (Lilford's wall lizard) is the source of this 5696-nucleotide non-coding RNA. Lineage: Eukaryota; Metazoa; Chordata; Lepidosauria; Squamata; Lacertidae. The record is from the annotation of a GenBank genome assembly.
ACGCGCAUUGUCUUUUUUUUUUAAGUUGUGUUUUCUACAGAUCAGUUUCAUUUGUGAUGAGACAUUAAGUGUUGCAUACAGUGUUGAGAACUAUGCUACAAGAAGCCUCUGGUAAAUCAUCGAGAGAAACUUGUGUGGGGUUUCCCAAGGCAUUCGAGCAGGGGUUAAGCAUUGUUGCUGGAACCAUGCGGCACAAAAUGGCUUCUGAAAUACCCACUGAGGGUUUUAUUUAUUUAUUUAAACAUUUCUAUCGCACCCUACAUGCAUAAAGCCAUUUGGGACACCACAAUUCCAUAAAAUAUAAAUUUAUUCUGUUGUCAGACAUGAGUGUUGCAUUCAGUGUUGAGAACUAUGCUACAAGCAUGCCUGCCUCUUCACCAAUUAUCAUCUGUUACCGUUGAUGGGGGACCAGCAAUGAUUGGCUGUCAGUGGGUUCAUUGCUCACUGCCUAAAGGAUUAUUGCCCUUAGUUUGUUUUAUUACCCAUCAAGAAGCAUAUUUUUAAUAAAAGAGUUUUCAUGGUGACUGUGGUCUCCCCCCUUAUUUCCUUUAUUUUUUCUUACACAGAGGAGUCCUGACCAUCAGUAAGAUCACUGUUCCUAAUGCCUAAGGUGAAUGAAACGUUCAAGCCAAGUCUUUAUGAUUACAGUCACAGAACAGCCAUGGGAGGAUUAGAGAUUGUGCAUGCAGCUUUUGUGUUCACUGCACUAUGUCAGAGGACCAGCGAGAAAACCUCUCUUUUGGUGAGAUAGAAAAGUUGAGAAGCAUUACUUUGGGGUUACCAGUUAACACAGCAUUGUUGCCAUAGGUGCUCAUUAAGAUAUCUGUUAACAGCUUCUGCUCAGGAGAGAGUAUAGCUGAGAACUAGUGCAUUAGUGGAUAGAUUGAUGAGCUACGGAUGGAGACUAUUAAAAUCCCUGCUCGGCCUUAAAAAAGUUUUCAUUUAUUUCUCCAGUUGUGCUAAGAACAAUGAAUCUGCUCAGCCUUUAGGGUUAUUUUUGAUCGUCACUAGCUCUCAGCCUAACCUAGGAAAUAUAGGAAGGUGAGCUCAAUAUAGGAAGAAGCUCAAUAGUGACAGGCAGUGGGUCUCCAGUUUUGGAAAGGGAAGGCCCCACUUGGAGAGAUGCCAGGCAUUGAACUUGGGACCUUCUGCAUGCAAAGUGGAUGAUCUACCAAGGAGCCACAGCCCUUUUCCACAAUGUGCCUCACAGGGCUGCUGCGAGGAUAAACUGGGUGGUAGAGAACCAUCUGUGAUGCCUUAUGCUCCCUGGAGAAAGAGUUGAACAUAAAAGAAACAGGUAACUUUAAUCUGCAUGAUUCCUAAACAAAACAAAAUGGUGAUCUAACUGAAGCCCCUGGUUUCUCCAUUAUGUGGGAGUAUGCUGUGGAAUUACCAUAUAUGGAAGAAAAGGAGGGAAUCUCUCUUGAGGGAUUGCUGAAGCCUAACCAUUUUAAAAGUUUUUAAUUUUCACUUGUUUUUGUUUAGUUUCACUUCAGAGUCCUGUUUAAUUUUAAGCAAUAUAUAAAUUGUUCAAAUAAAAUAAACAAAUACAAAAAUAUCCAAUGGGAAGUUUGUACACAUUUGGAAGUAUUGUCAUGGCUCCCCCUCCUCUGGGUUGAGAACAUGAACUUUUAAGCGGCAGCAACAAGUUUUAUUUAUUUUAAUCACGGCACAAAAGGGACAAAGCACACUUCUGUGUGGAUGAGCUAUGUGCCUCAGUCAAUUGCUGAGGAAAAACAAUCUCAAAUUAAUACUCCCAUUCUAAUUAUUAUCUUCGCUGAAGAAAAGCCCUGUUGUUUUAAUGAAUAUAAUGAAGCAAAUUACAACUUUUGGGGUGGUGAGUAUUGAAAAAAGUGUCAAGAAUGCUGCAUUUCCUACAAAUAUUUCCUUGAUGGCAUAAAUUAGGCUGAAAUUACACUGGUGCAACCCUUUUGAAAUAUAAUUGCUUUUAAAGAGUGCAGACAGAGCAAGGAAGAACACAGGCUUCCAGUGGAAGGAAAAUGAAAGGAAAGCAACCUUAAGCUCCUCUCCCCAAGCCAUAAUGGCUAUCUAAGCUAAGAGAAGUCUGGUUGAUAUGACUGAAAUAAAAGAAAUGGCACUAGCUCUUGGCCUACGGCAACACGUACACGCCAGCCAGUCUGCAAACCUCCAGGACUUACCCAACCCACCACCCCCUUGCAAAGCCCUUUUCAAUCUGAGUCCCCAAACACGAGGGCUGGAGAUCGUGAAGCAGUGGGCCAAACCAACUCAUGGCAAACAUUGGGGAGGGGUGAGAGUGUUCAGUUUAUUUUUUUCCUUUGAAACCCAAGCAUUACUAUUUUUGUUUGCCCCUACUCUACCUUGGCACCAUAAAACCGGCAUGCACUUCACAUAUUCUUCAAGAUGGCAUACUGGAUGUAGUGCUUUCCAUAGCUGGAGGCUCAAAGUUUUGUCCCCCUUCAUGUAGCAGAGUUGGUUUCUCCCCCUGUGAGUCAUCAUCAAGAAGGGGAGUGAAACCUAUGUGGGGUUUCCCAAGGCAUUUCAGCAGGGGUUAAGGAACCAUUCAUUUGACACAAAAUGGCUUCUGAAAUACCCACUGAGGGUUUUAUUUAUUUAAACAUUUCUAUCGCACUCUGCAUGUGUAAAGCCAUUUGGGUCACUACAAUUCCAUAACAUAUAAAUAUAAAAUUAAGGCCUAUAUAUUUAAAUCAAUACAGUAUUAUACAACUUUUAAAAAUCCCCAAAUAAUUCUGGGAACUGUAGUUUGCUAAGGGCACUAAGAGUUGUUGGAAGACCCCUGUUCCCCUCACAGAGCUACAAUUCUCAGAGGAGCUUGGCAAUCCCUAUUGCCAGGAAAUUCUGGGAAUUGUAGCUCUGUGAGGGGAACAGGGGUCUACUAACAACUGUCAGCACCCUUAACUAAGUGCAAUUCCCAGUAUUAUUUGGAGGAAGUUGUGACUGUUCAAAGUUGUAUAAUACUGCUUUAAAUUUCUAGUGCAGAUGGGACCAAUAAGAAUCCGGUUAACUGCAUUUGUGCAUAUGUUCUCAACCAACACAGAUUGCUGUGACUCUUGGCUCAAGAACAGAGUAAAUUAGCAAUGAAAUCAGCAAGCCAAGCUUAGACUGAAAGAAUAUGCCAUUUAUUACAAAAUAUGAUUGGUAUCAUGAUACAGAACAGAAAAGUUAGUUUUCAUAGGCAGGUUGGAGUGACAGCUCUUUGGUUAAAUCCAAGAAGGAGCAGAGAUGGAAGGAUCCUGAGGACAAGGAGGAGAACAGCGUAACACCAGAGAAAUAGGUGCAAAUCCUACUUGGGUUAUUUAACAAGACACAAGGCAGGGGAAUCUGCAACUUCCAUAUGUGGUUGGUGUGGGAUAACCAGCUUCGUAUAACCAACAUGUAUUUUAAUGAAUGAAUGAAGAUAAUACCAUAGAGUAAGCUAUCCUGCCAGGUUUAGCUACAUGUCCACUUCCCCUCACCUUGGUAGGAACCAAUAUUUCCCUUUGUUCUCCCCUAGUCUUCAGUGUGUGAAGAGGUUUGAGCUGGUUGCUCCAUCUCAACCGCAUGGCUCUCACAAGCCACUUUUGAAUUCCUAUACCAGUAAGUAAGUAACAUUAAACACUUUGCAUCUAAGCUGAGUUUUACUGCCUGUGCAACCUUUUCUGAAGCACAUGAAUCUGACAUUUGGAGAAUUUAUAAGUAAACCUUAAAAAAAAAAACUUUUACCAAGCUUGUGGUCUUUUCCCUAUCCUUGGGGGAAAGGGAAACUUUGGAAAGAAACUUUGAGGGAACAUUCUGGAACUCACUCAACUCCUCACAGGUAGUUGUGAUGAACCUGGGGACAGAACCCCAUUCUUCAGGGAAUGAGGCUGGGGACCAGUGUGCACAUAAAGUCUCCAUUUUAGUAAGGAGUAGGGCACAUGCAUACCAUUGCACAAAGGUGGGUUGGAAGAUGCAGUUCAAAAGCACGUCAAAGUGCAAGUAGAUAAAUAGGUACCGCUCCGGCAGGAAGGUAAACAGCGUUUCCAUGCGCUGCUCUGGUUUCGCCAGAAGUGGCUUAGUCAUGCUGGCCACAUGACCCGGAAAAACUGUCUGCGGACAAACGUCGGCUCCUUCAGCCAGUAAAGCAAAAUGAGCACCGCAAACCCAGAGUCAUUCACAACUGGACCUAACUGUCAGGGGUCCUUUACCGUUUUUGUGUGUGUAUUGUUAUACAACUGAAUUACAUUUUUUAAGAACUGUCAACUCACAUCAAAAUGUAAUUUUCUUUGCUGAAACCUUUUAUUAAGAAAUAAUAAAUUAAAUACUGGAUUUCUGUGAAAGAAUUCAUUACAAGGUGAAGUGUGUGAGGAAUUGAAUGGAUGGAUGUCCGUGGCUAGGGGCCGUAAUCUGGACUGGGCGCAAGAUCACCUAGCUAUGGCUCUGUGUUCAAAUGCCCUCUUGAAAUUCCCCUUAGUCUCACACUUCUUCUUUUAUUAUUAUAAAGAUUUUUAUUGGUUUUACAUAUAAUCACAUUACGUACCAUCGUACCCUCUUAUUUUAUCUCUUUGGCUCAACUGAACCUAUUGACUUCCCUCCCUCCCAUCUGAUGUUUUACAAAAUUAAACUUUACAUCUUUACAAUUUGCUUCGUUUCCUAUCCUUGUUAUAUAUCAUUGCCUAAAAUAUUAUAUUACUCAACCUGAAUAGGUAGCAAUUUCAUCUUACAAAUCUUCAGAUGUUAAUUGCUUACAGUUGUCUUUCAAAUAUAAUAUAAAUUUAUUCCAGUCUUUUUGGAAUGCUUGGUCUUGCUGGUUCCAGAUUCUUCCCAUCAGUUUCGCCAGUUCUGCGAAGUCCAUCAGCCAUGCACCCCACUUCUCUGCUCAUAUAUAGGUGCUUUUAUCAGGGUCAUCUUUGACUAAACCAUUCCCUGCAUAGUAGCAGUAAACAAUGGUAUUAAGCAGUAAAGGGUGGCUAUCAUUAUUUCUAUUUAGACAGUUUACUCUUAAUAAGAACAUUGGUUGAGUUGUGUUUAGCCUUCAUCCUAUGUUGGGCAAGAGAUUCCUGUAUUACAGGGGGUGACAUCUUAUACCACUGAAGUCGCUGCACUGUAGAAUUUUUCUUCGUGCCUAACAGUGUAUUGUCGCUCUGAACAAUAUGAUGCAAAAAGGGAAUGUUGGACUUACCAUGAAAAUUCAUUCUCUCCAGUGGAGUGGGUUGCAAUUCCCACUUGCUUUCUAAGUAGGGAUAUUAUAAUGAGCUUCUGCUAAAGACCCCUGCCCUCUCCCCGUCCAAAAAACACCCAUACCCAACCCUACAAUUUUCUGUUUCCACUGAGAAGUUUCAGUCUGUAAGUGAUUUCCCUAUACACUGGUACCUCAGGUUAAGUACUUAAUUCAUUCUGGAGGUCCGUACUUAACCUGAAACUGUUCUUAACCUGAAGCACCACUUUAGCUAAUGGGGCCUCCUGCUGCUGCUGCGCCUCCGGAGCCUGAUUUCUGUUCUCAUCCUGAAGCAACGUUCUUAACCUGAAGCACUAUUUCUGGGUUAGCGGAGUCUGUAACCUGAAGCAUAUGUAACCUGAAGCAUAUGUAACCUGAGGUACCACUGUACGAUAUAGCUGCAUUAAGAAGUAACGAACAGCUCCACCAUGAGGUCAGCCAAGGCAAGCACACCCCAUUGUGAAUUCUGGUAUCAUUAAAACUGGCAGGCGGAUAGUUCUGAUCCUGUAGAGUUCUCUGC